GAUCAUGGCUCAGGAUGAACGCUAGCGGCAGGCUUAACACAUGCAAGUCGGAGGGGCAGCAUAAUGGAUAGCAAUAUCUAUGGUGGCGACCGGCGCACGGGUGCGUAACGCGUAUGCAAAAACCUCCUUUAACAGGGGGAUAACACUGAGAAAUUGGUACUAAUACCCAUAAUAUCAUAGAAGGCAUCUUUUAUGGUUGAAAAUUCCGAUGGUUAGAGAUGGGCAUGCGUUGUA
Molecule: ribosomal RNA, 234 nt
Filed under: uncultured bacterium
Lineage: Bacteria
Description: partial 16S ribosomal RNA
Rfam family: Bacterial small subunit ribosomal RNA
Source: RNAcentral